This 256-nucleotide ribosomal RNA is filed under the name Bicosoecida sp. CB-2014. RNAcentral describes it as "partial Bacterial large subunit ribosomal RNA". It matches the Rfam family "Bacterial large subunit ribosomal RNA", at positions 242 to 546 of the family's 2925-position model. Lineage: Eukaryota; Bigyra; Bicosoecida. The record is from RNAcentral.
AGUAGCGGCGAGCGAACGGGGAUUAGCCCUUAAGUUGGUUUGGUGUUAGCAGAAGGCCCUGGAAAGUGCCGCCAUAGUGGGUGAUAGCCCCGUAUGCGAAAGCGCCUUAUCAAUGAAAUCGAGUAGGACGGGACACGUGUUAUCCUGUCUGAACAUGGGGGGACCAUCCUCCAAGGCUAAAUACUCCUGACUGACCGAUAGUGAACCAGUACCGUGAGGGAAAGGUGAAAAGAACCCCGGGAGGGGAGUGAAAGAG